RNAcentral lists this long non-coding RNA (983 nucleotides) under Homo sapiens (human). Its description in RNAcentral is "non-protein coding SNHG11:35". Lineage: Eukaryota; Metazoa; Chordata; Mammalia; Primates; Hominidae. The record is from RNAcentral.
GUAUUUCCGCGGGCGCUGAGCACUAGAGAGAGCGUCUUGUGGCUGCGGCCUGCCCCUCAGCCUCCUCCGCGCGGUUACCCCUGUACCCGCCGCCAUCCGUCCUGGCGCUCCGGAUGAGUCAAUGAGGGGCAGGGCCCGAGGAGUGGUCUUCCCAAGAACCCCUGGUGGCCUCCCAAGGCCGGCCUCGUGGGCUGUGCGGCUAUCCUGGAGACAGAUGACAGCUCUCCCUUGGAUGGCUUUGCUGGUUCCGCACCAGCCAGCGCCCCCAUUUUUCCUGCAGCACCCUGAUCUGCACUCCCUGAGGGGCUCCCACUGUCCGCGGUGUGAGGAUGUCCCUGGAUAGUCCACUGUGUGCAGAGGCAUGGGAGUUGUCAUGUUGGGAACAUGCUAGACCUCAGUAUCCUUGAGCUUGAAGAAAGACGACAGAACACUGGAGACCAAGUACUUACAGCCUUCUGCUCUGUGGCCCCUCCUCACUCCAGGGAUGCUGCCUUGGGUCUGGAAACUGUUAGAGGAAACCCCAAGAGGUGCAGGCACUGAGCCUCUCAGGACAAUGACCUGGGGUCCCAGCUCCCCUGGAGGGGCCUCCUCAUGAUUGUUUGGGGGUUGAUCACAGACCAAGAGUGACGAGUGAUGUCACCCUGUGACUCAUGGCUGGACCUUCUUGCCCCUAUUGUCUCAGCACAACAUUAUUCGACUUUUCCCUCAGCGUGGGUGGGCAGAGGAAAAGCCCUGUGGCUCUGGGGACUUGGGAUCCAGAGUUGAAGACCCUUCAGCUGGCUCUGCCCUGCCAGUGCCACAGAGUGCCAUGGCCCAGGAAGACAGGUUUUCUUCCAUCUAGGCCAGGCCAUCCAGUGGCCAUCCUCCGUGUCCUCCCGCCUCCUCCUGGUGUGACUUCUGAAAACCAAGAAUUUGUUCCUGUUGACUUUUUCUGUGCUAUGGACCAUUGUCCUCUCACCCACUCAAUAAAUCUUGAAACAUGC